Poecilia reticulata (guppy) is the source of this 2993-nucleotide non-coding RNA. The record is from RefSeq and is a predicted model, not a curated record. Lineage: Eukaryota; Metazoa; Chordata; Actinopteri; Cyprinodontiformes; Poeciliidae.
GUAAAGAACAAGGCGCUAACAGCCUUAGCUUCCAGUCUUCCCUUUGUUUAUUGUUAUAAGACAGAUGUUUGAAUUGAAUUAUUCAGUGUUGCAGUAACAAUGUAUUUGGUUCAUGAUUAGAGAGCAACAAACGCUGCAGAAAUAUUCUAAACAAAACGCCAUCCAGGAAGAGGAAGAGGAAGAGGAAGAGGUCGACCUGCUGGAGACCAGCUGCAAAACCGAAUCAUCUCGGAACCUUCUGGUUUUCCACUGCAUCAUGGCUAACUGUGUUGGUCCUGUUGAUCAAAGUCUCAUAACUGAAGAGAGAAACUCCAUUGUUGACCACAAAAUGCCAAACACUACAGAAAUAAAGGAGGAACAGGAAGAACCAGACCUGCAGCAGGUGGCCGAGACAAAAGACGGAUCACAAACACAACCAAUGAAAAAAGAGCAUGUUGAACUGUGGAUCUCUCAAGAUGAAGAACAAUUUUUAGUCAUGCAGGAAACCAGGUCCUCUCUGGUAACUCAUGAAGAAAGAAUCCGCAAUGAACCAAAAGUAGAGAUAAAGGAGGAACUAGGACCUGCAAAUCAAGGAGAAUUAGAACCUUUCAGGAUUAAAAAGGAACCAGAACUUGUCCAGGCACAAAAUGAUUCAGAACUGAUGAACAUAAAAGAGAAAAAAGAGGAUUUUUACGGUAAUCAGGAUGAAGAUCAGUUUGUAGUGAAGCAGGAGACUGACAGCAUUACGGUGACGUCUACUAAUGAGCUAAAAGACGACAGUGAAGCAGAACCGAACAAGAACCAACUCCUCUCUGCAAAUGGCCUCGAAGCUCAGGACCAACAUCACCAAGGAAACAACCAGAAAGAAAGCGGGGAUACGGAUCUGGAACCAAAGGCCCUUAAAUUAAGGGGCAAACAUCGCAGAAUGCUUCAAUACUUACCUGUGGACAUGGACAGCCACUCAUAUGAGAAGGUUUAUUCUUGGAAAGAAUAACUGCUGCUGGAGGAAUAUUCAUCAAUAUUUACCAGAGAUCGAUCAUCAGCUCAAGCUGCUGGAAAACAAACCAUCUCGGAUCGUCCAGGCUUCCCUCAGCAUCAUGUCUGGUGCUAACGACGAGGUUCCUGCUGGUUACAACUGAAGAGAGAAACUCCUCUCGACCACAAGAUGUCAAAUGCCAUAAGAAUAAAAGAGGAAGAGGAGGAACCAGAACUGCAGCAGAUGGCUGAGACGAAAGAGGAGCCAGAACCCGAGCCAACUAAAGAAGAGCAUAUUGAACUGUGGGUUUUUCAGAAAGAGGGGCAGAUGUUAGUGAUGCAGAAAACCAACACCUCCGUGGCGACGCCCACUCAUGAGGAAAUGCUCGACAACAUGCCAGGACUGGCGCAGGUGAUGGAGACGAAGGAGGAACCGGAACCUGUGCUGAUUAAAGAAGAACAGGUGGAUCCGUGCAGGGAUCAAAAUGAAGUUCAGCUUGAUCUUCACAUAAAGCUGGAUACUGACAGCAUCACGGUGACUUCUGCUGAUGAGCAAAACAACAGCAGUGAUCCAGAACCAAACAAGAACCAGCUCCUUCCUGCAAACCGCCCAGAACCAGAGAACCAGGAAGACUCAGGAAGAGGAGAUCCAAGUCUGAGGCCAGACAAGAGACGUCAGGACACCAGAAGUAACGGGGUCAAUGUGAACAGUUCAGAACUGAAAAGACAGAAAACGGAUACGGCGUCUUGUGAAAUAUGUGGUAAACUCUUCAGAAUGCGUCAACACCUGCCUGACAACAUAAAAAUCCACACGGGUGGUCGAGGGAGACCAACUAUUCAUAUUACAAGAGAACAGAUCGACUUUCUUCUGGCCCAAGGACACACGGUCAAGAGGAUGGCAAACAUCUUGGGAUGCUCAGCAUCAUUUCUUUAUAAGAAGUCCAAAGCACUUGGUGUACCAAUAAGGGGAAGGCUGGCUGCAGUGACUGAUGAAGACCUUGAAACUAAUAUCAGACAACUUCAAUCCCUGGAUCCAAAUUCUGGGACUGAGAUGAUGCGAGGCUUGUUAAAUGCACGAGGACUGGUGGUUCCACGGCGUAACGUCCGUGAGACGACGGCUCGAAUCAACCCAAUGGCGACUGCAAGGGUGGAGCAGCGCAGUGAUUCGACGUGUCUGUCAUGUGCCGUAUCCCAACAGUUUAUGGCAUAUUGAUGGCAACAUGCGUCUCAUAAGGUGGGGCUUUGUGGUCCAUGGUGGCAUCGAUGGAUGUUCUCGCUUAAUUACUUACUUGAACUGUAGCACAGACAAUCGCGCCUCAACAGUGCUAUUUCAUUUUCUCAAGGCAACAGGCCUCUAUGACUUACCUUCUAGUGAGGUCAGAUCAUGGUGGCGAGAAUGUGCAAGUGGCACUGGUGAUGAACCUCCUACAGGGCAUUGAACGUCGGAGUCAUGUCACUGGGGAAUCCAUCCAUAAUCAGAGAAUAGAGCGACUUUGGAGGGAUGUGUUUUUACAUGUUUUAUAAUCUUGAAGAUUCGGCCCUCUUGGAUCCCAGCGACGAUGUGCACAAACUUUCUCCUCAUAGUUUUUCUUCCUGAGAUUCAAAGCCGACUAGAACAAUUCAGGAAAGCAUGGAACCACCAUUCCUUGCGUACAGAAAACAACAAAACACAAAUCUGGACUGAGUGGAUGUUGGCAAACAUGAGUGCCAACAGCACAGCAACUAACAACGUGUUUGGUGAAAAUUAUAACGCACCAGAGACUCUUGAAGAACUUCUGCAGCAGCAUGGCCUUUGACCCCCACCAACCACUGAUGCUGAGCGGGUAGAACCAGCUCAAACCAGGCUCAGUCAGCAGCAACUUCUAUCAGUUAUACAGUCAAAUACAUUGUUCUUAAGAUACAAAUGCUACAAAUAAAACUCAGAAUUAACGUGAGUAGGUAACCUUACAGAUGUAAUUAUAAAAUGUUAAGGUGUUUAAAGACGUGAUGAAUUAAAUAUACAUUCUACAGAAAAAAUAAAAAUUCUACUUUUGAAAAUG